This 1303-nucleotide long non-coding RNA is filed under the name Vulpes vulpes (red fox). RNAcentral's name for it is "lncRNA (ENSVVUG00000006532.1)". Lineage: Eukaryota; Metazoa; Chordata; Mammalia; Carnivora; Canidae. The record is from RNAcentral.
GUGAAGCUGACUCUCUGCUGAGCAGGAAGCCUGACUCAAGACUCCAUUCCAGGAACUUGGGAUCAUGACCCGAGCUCAAGGCAGAUGCUUAACUGACUGAGCUACCCAAGUGCCCCUAGAGGUGUUGUUGUUAGGAUUCAACGAAAAUAAUAAUUGCUCAAUCUAAGUAAUGAAUCUAAAAGAAUGAAAAGGUCGCAUAUACAAAGGUGUUUAUUUUGUAAUCACUUAUAAUUUAAAACUUUGAAAGUCACUUCAGUGUCUGUCAGUAAGAGAUCCAUGAGGCAUAUUACCGAAUAGCCGUUUGGUGAAAUGUUUUGCAGCUAUUAAAUGAACACUUGUGAAGAUCCUGCAGCAAAAUAGAAUGAACAGAAGUUCCAAAUAGCAUAAAUUAAAAACAUAAAAAACCCCAAAUUUAUUAAUAGCAUGAUUAAAACAUAAAAUGGAAGUAUGAAAGAAAUAAGGAAGAGGAUCCCGACUGUGGGAAUGGGUUGUCGAGUUUUACAUCUUUUCUCUUGUUAAGUUUUUCUAUUCUGUUAUGAUAUUGCUUUUAUAAUUAAAAUGCAGUAGCUUUAUUAAUUACCCUUAGUUUUCCUAUUUAUGAAAGAAUCGUUACUUUAAAAAACCGAGCUAAUUCAGAAAACCAUGAAUAAUAAAAUGAAAAUUACCCUUAAUCCUGCCGUGUGUAUUUUAAUUUGCACUGCUGUAGUUUUUUCAAAAUUAGCCUUGCUUGGCUUCUGGUUUACCCCUUGGCCUGCUUCUCAGGCGGUGGCUUUUGCAUCUCCUCCUUGUCUUUGAUCUUUCCAGAUGAGCCUCUUCUCCCUCUUCCAGGAGCCGUGCAUGCCUGCUUUAUUGAGAACACCAGGAAGCCCUUUUUUUGAAAUGUUCUUGUGUCUCCUGUCAAAAAUGAUUUUGAGAGGUGAACUGUGGCCGCACAACUUCCAGAACUUGACCAGAGCAGAAAAGGUCCAGCUCGGUGAUGCAUCUCAAAGUGAGCCUGUGUGCGAUGACUGCUCCGAGGAAGCACUGGAUCUCUGCGAACAGUCUGGAAGCUGCUCUGAGACCCGUCCAGGCAGUGCCCUUCCUUCUUCCCAGAGGUGACUGUGAUCUCGACUCCCAGGAUGAUUACUUUUCUGCUUUUCUCUCCAAGCAAAGCACUGCAGCUUAGUUCUGCAUAUGUUUUGAGCUUUAUGUCCACGGAGUCCUACAGUACGUACUCUUCUGUGCGUAUCUUUUGUUGCUGAACGUUGUAGUCAUCAGUGUUGCUCCAUAGCUCUAGUCACUCAUUUUCAUCACUGCACAGAAU